AUAAAUGCGAUGACCGGAAGAAGUCCGAUAUUCUUUGUGUCAGAGAGAUGCCCAAGCGGUGAGAGGGCGUUCAUAAAGAAGCGGGCGAGUCACCCGUGAGCCGGCAGAAGGAAAGGUCUGCCCGGAUGCAGCCGUUAUCUGUCAAUGAGAGGUCGUCUAGGCGACAAAUCGGGUGGUACCGCGGAAGAUACGCUCUUUCGUCCCAAGU
Molecule: non-coding RNA, 208 nt
Filed under: Megasphaera micronuciformis
Lineage: Bacteria; Bacillati; Bacillota; Negativicutes; Veillonellales; Veillonellaceae
Description: T-box sequence
Rfam family: T-box leader
About the family: Uncharged tRNA acts as the effector for transcription antitermination of genes in the T-box leader family. T-boxes are found upstream of many aminoacyl-tRNA synthetase genes and some amino acid biosynthetic genes usually in Gram-positive bacteria. The anticodon of a specific tRNA base pairs to a specifier sequence within the T-box motif, and the NCCA acceptor tail of the tRNA base pairs to a conserved bulge in the T-box antiterminator hairpin.
Source: RNAcentral